GUGAGGAAUAUUGGUCAAUGGGCGGCAGCCUGAACCAGCCAUCCCGCGUGAAGGAAGAAAGCGCUAUGCGUUGUAAACUUCUUUUCCGGGGGGAUAAAAAGAUGUACGAGUACAUAACUGAAGGUACCCCGGGAAUAAGCAUCGGCUAACUCCGUGCCAGCAGCCGCGGUAAUACGGAGGAUGCGAGCGUUAUCCGGAUUUAUUGGGUUUAAAGGGUGCGUAGGCGGAUUAUUAAGUCAGUGGUGAAACCCUGCAGCUUAACUGUAGACUUGCCAAUGAUACUGAUAGUCUUGAGUAUGGUCAAGGCAGGCGGAAUGUGUAAUGUAGCGGUGAAAUGCUUAGAUAUUACACAGAACACCGAUAGCGAAGGCAGCUUGCUGGGCCGUUACUGACGCUGAUGCACGAAAGCGUGGGGAUCGAACAGGAUUAGAUACCCCAGUAGUCC
This 445-nucleotide ribosomal RNA is filed under the name uncultured bacterium. RNAcentral describes it as "bacterial SSU rRNA". It matches the Rfam family "Bacterial small subunit ribosomal RNA", at positions 354 to 796 of the family's 1533-position model. The record is from RNAcentral.